Molecule: ribosomal RNA, 595 nt
Filed under: uncultured bacterium
Lineage: Bacteria
Description: bacterial SSU rRNA
Rfam family: Bacterial small subunit ribosomal RNA
Source: RNAcentral
CCUACGGGAGGCAGCAGUGGGGAAUUUUCCGCAAUGGGCGAAAGCCUGACGGAGCAACGCCGCGUGAGGGAUGAAGGCCUCUGGGCUGUAAACCUCUUUUAUCAAGGAAGAAGAUCUGACGGUACUUGAUGAAUAAGCCACGGCUAAUUCCGUGCCAGCAGCCGCGGUAAUACGGGAGUGGCAAGCGUUAUCCGGAAUUAUUGGGCGUAAAGCGUCCGCAGGCGGUCUUGUAAGUCUGUCGUUAAAGCGUGGAGCUUAACUCCAUUUCGGCGGUGGAAACUACAAGACUAGAGUGUGGUAGGGGCAGAGGGAAUUCCCGGUGUAGCGGUGAAAUGCGUAGAUAUCGGGAAGAACACCAGUGGCGAAGGCGCUCUGCUGGGCCAUAACUGACGCUCAUGGACGAAAGCUAGGGGAGCGAAAGGGAUUAGAUACCCCUGUAGUCCUAGCCGUAAACGAUGAACACUAGGUGUCGGGGGAAUCGACCCCUCGGUGUCGUAGCUAACGCGUUAAGUGUUCCGCCUGGGGAGUCGCACGCAAGUGUGAAACUCAAANAGAGUAGACGCGNGAAGAGUGCGAGACGACGACGAGGGAGAGG